Nicotiana tabacum (common tobacco) is the source of this 2606-nucleotide RNA transcript. It is a transcript of the gene named O-fucosyltransferase 19-like, with no coding region annotated. The record is from RefSeq and is a predicted model, not a curated record. Lineage: Eukaryota; Viridiplantae; Streptophyta; Magnoliopsida; Solanales; Solanaceae.
UAACUUGAACCACUUCCACAAUCGGCAACACCUCCCCUCCCCUUGCGAAAAUCUUCCUCUCGUAAAUCGUACGACGCCACUAUAUACACAAACAAACCUAUGGUUCACAAACUGGGAAAACUUCUCCGGUCCCCUCCCUCUCUCUGGACCCAUAAUUCUCUCUUUUGACUUUCUUCGGUUCUGUGUUUAGACUACUUAUAAAAUGUCAACCGGUGGCACCGCCACCAAUUCCGCCAGCGGUAGUCCCCGAGUGGGCGGCGGACCCACCACCCACCACCGCCGCCGUGUCGCCGACACCAUGAACGACCCCGAAAAAUUAUCAGAUCAUUUACAAAUCGGGCUUGAUUAUUAUGGUGAUAAUAAUACAAAUAUCAACGCCGGUGGAAACGUUCAUCAUCACCAUUAUCACCAUCACCAUCAUAAUUCGAUAAUACGUUACUUAUUAGCGUGUAAAUGGGUGCCAGAAAGUAUUGUAUUUAGAGUAGAAGAAUGUUUAUUAAGUAUUGGUACAAUUAUGGCAUAUUUAGGAUCAAGAAAGAAUAUGGUUCGUACCAUAUUUGGGUUGUUAUUGGUUUUGGUGGUUUUAUCUGUAUUUCUCAAGUUUUCUAUUAUGAUGAAUGGUAAUGUUGAGGAUGUAAAUAAUGGGAAUCUCAUGAGGAGAGAUAAUGGACUUUUUGUUCUUCAGAAUUUAAAGAAUGAUUGGAUUAAUGCUCAAAGAGUUGUUUCUGAAACAGAGACCACUGCCUUUUCUGCUUCUGAGGUUGUGCAAAAACGUCAGAUGAAGGAGUUACCCGUACCAGAAAUAUGGAUGAAGCCAUCUAGUGAUAAUUACUACAAAUGCAUUGCUCGGCCUAGGAAUCGAAUAAGAACUGGCUCUUCGACCAAUGGAUAUAUCUUGGUUCAUGCCAAUGGAGGAUUAAACCAAAUGAGAACAGGGAUAUGUGAUAUGGUGGCUAUUGCAAAGAUUUUGAAUGCCACUCUGGUUCUUCCUUCCCUUGAUCAUGAAUCCUUUUGGACAGAUCCCAGUGAUUUUAAAGAUAUUUUUGACUGGAGACGCUUCAUUGACGUUUUAAGAGAAGACAUUGAGAUUGUUGAAUCUUUGCCACCAAAAUAUGCAGCUGUGACCCCCCUUCAGAAAGCACCUGUGUCUUGGUCAAAGGCUAGUUACUAUAGAAGAGAGAUUCUUUCUUUACUAAAGAAGCAUAAGGUGAUACAAUUUACCCACACAGAUUCAAGGCUUGCUAACAAUGGCCUGGCGUCCUCUAUUCAGAGGCUUCGCUGUCGAGCAAAUUAUGAGGCUCUACGGUACACAAAUGAGAUUGAGGAGCUUGGAAAGAAGUUGCUCGAUAGACUUAGAGAUAAUGGUGAACCAUACAUUGCUCUCCACUUAAGAUAUGAAAAAGACAUGCUAGCCUUUACUGGCUGCAGCAACAAUUUGACUGCUGAAGAGGCUGAGGAACUUCGUAUUAUGAGGUAUCAAGUGAAGCACUGGAAAGAGAAAGAGAUAGACGGCAAUGAGAAGCGACUGCAAGGGGGCUGCCCUAUGUCUCCUAGGGAGGCUGCAUUGUUUCUUAAAGCAAUGGGCUAUCCUUCCAUGACUAGAAUAUAUAUCGUCGCUGGGGAAAUUUAUGGCAACAACAGUAUGGAUGCGUUUCGGAAAGAGUAUCCCAAUGUUUUCUCUCACUCAACUCUUACAACAAAGGAAGAACUUGAGGCUUUCAGGCAUUAUCAAAACCGUCUUGCUGCCCUAGAUUAUCUCGUAGCCCUUGAAAGUGACGUCUUUGUUUAUACGUAUGAUGGUAAUAUGGCAAAGGCCGUACAAGGGCAUAGAAGGUUUGAAGGAUUUCGAAAGACCAUAAACCCCGACAGACACAAUGUUGUAAGAUUGGUUGAUUUGUUGGAUAAGGGUGCGAUCUCUUGGGAAGAGUUUGCUUCAGAGAUCAAGGCGUUACAUUCCAACAGAUUAGGAGCUCCUUACCUUAGACAAGCUGGAGAAUUACCAAGAUUAGAAGAAAACUUUUAUGCUAAUCCUUUUCCAGGUUGUAUCUGUGAUAGAUCUUUGAUGGAAGUGAACAAGCAGAAAAUUAACAAGAGACCGAGUUUGAAAGCUGCUACACAAAGAUAAAGGUUUAUAUUCAAGUUGGUAAUAGGUUGUAGAUUAGACAAAUGCCAGCAUAUGAUCUUACAAUAUAUUCAAGGGGCUGCCAAAAUUUUGGCCUUUUAUGCAUUUUAGUAUAUUAGGCAGCAAGCAGAAUCAAAGAGGAAUUUCACCAUAUGAAUUACUUUGAUUAACAAAUCUUAAGCCAGCAAGCAACUUUGGAAGCAGAGACGGUGGCUAGUAAAAGAGGCAGAUACAAUACAGACAGAAAGCUAAUAAAGCAGAUGCGGGACCAUAAUUCAGAGUUUGGAUUUGCUCUUGUUCCUUUAUAACGUACUCAAAAUACAUAAAGCAACAUUAUGCUAUUACUAAGAAUAGCAGUGACGACAACUGGAGGCAAGCCCGACAUUUACUUUAGUCUGAUAAUGCUUUCUUAUCGUUGAACCUGCAUCCGUAUCUUGAGCCCAACAGAUUCUGGUCCUAAACAAAACUUAUUCAUCAAGUAAGG